AGAGUUUGAUCCUGGCUCAGAACGAACGCUGGCGGCAUGCCUAACACAUGCAAGUCGAACGAGACCUUCGGGUCUAGUGGCGCACGGGUGCGUAACGCGUGGGAACCUGCCUUUAGGUUCGGGAUAACUCCUCGAAAGGGGUGCUAAUACCGGAUGAUGUCUUCGGACCAAAGAUUUAUCGCCUUUAGAUGGGCCCGCGUUGGAUUAGCUAGUUGGUGAGGUAAAGGCUCACCAAGGCGACGAUCCAUAGCUGGUCUUAGAGGAUGAUCAGCCACACUGGGACUGAGACACGGCCCAGACUCCUACGGGAGGCAGCAGUGGGGAAUAUUGGACAAUGGGCGAAAGCCUGAUCCAGCAAUGCCGCGUGAGUGAUGAAGGCCUUAGGGUUGUAAAGCUCUUUUACCCGGGAUGAUAAUGACAGUACCGGGAGAAUAAGCCCCGGCUAACUCCGUG
RNAcentral lists this ribosomal RNA (453 nucleotides) under uncultured Sphingomonadales bacterium. RNAcentral's name for it is "bacterial SSU rRNA". It matches the Rfam family "Bacterial small subunit ribosomal RNA", at positions 8 to 507 of the family's 1533-position model. Lineage: Bacteria; Pseudomonadati; Pseudomonadota; Alphaproteobacteria; Sphingomonadales. The record is from RNAcentral.